RNAcentral lists this long non-coding RNA (1220 nucleotides) under Bos mutus (wild yak). RNAcentral's name for it is "lncRNA (ENSBMUG00000007138.1)". The record is from RNAcentral. Lineage: Eukaryota; Metazoa; Chordata; Mammalia; Artiodactyla; Bovidae.
GGAAAUGCAUUUUCAAACUAUUCUCUGUUCCUUUUCUGUACCUGAGUAUGACUUUUGUGUCAAUCCUCUCUGGCAUAAGAAUUUUAAUUACUUUCUUGGUCUUUGGUCUGACCAAGAUUAGAGUGAAUUUCUUCCUGCUGGAUCUUUCCAGAUUGCUGGCCGUGAGGCUAUCUGUGGGAGUCAUACAGAAAUAGGUCAUAAUCUAUUAACUGAACGAUUGCUCGUAUAUCCUUUGUGAGUCCUGAAAGUGCUGAGAGCUUUUUAGAAUAGUCUGGAGAUAAUACCCUGGCCUUGUCCAUGCUCAUUUUUUGAAACAAAGCAGAUGUGGAAUAAUUAGUUGUUGGUUCCAUAUUUUUGGAAGAGGAGAGUAAUUUUAUCCCUCAAAGAAUGCACAAAACAGAUGCAUUUCCCCACAGCAGGAGGAGUGCUGUGCACGGGGGUUUACAGGGAUGGAGCGGAAGGAGACGGGGCAGGACUCGAACGAUGAGGAGACACCCUCAAAGCGGGAACUGGCCACACGACAGAAAUAGAGAAGGCAGGAAAGAAAGGACAGAAGCAGGCAAGCUGGCAAGAAGAAGCGGAAAGGACGCAAACAGAAAGAAAAAAGAAGAACGAAAGCAGAAUCAAGAUUCAGAUUCACGUAGACCAGUGGUCGUAACAGGUAUAUGUUGAUGCCUCCGCGAAAAAGAAGAGACAGGAAAAAUCAAAGAAGUGACAUAAAGUUCUUUUCUUGAAAAAUAACAAGAAAAAAGGCAAAACCAAUGGUACAUUUCUGUAAGAUACAUUUCGGGAAGAAGGAAAAUGAUCUCAUGAGAAAUGUCUGUGAGAAGAAAUCAUGCAAGAAGAAAUGCAGCACAAAGAAAGUAGUUAAAAUGAGUGAAAAUGUAAACACCAUAGACUCUAUUGAUCAUGUCCAGUUUUUAGUGUUUAAAGAAAACAAAUGAAACCUACAUUUUGUGGAAGACCAAGCAAGCUGGGAACGGAAUGAGCAGAUUUAAAACAUUGUAAAGCUCUUUAAUGAUUUGGAAGAAAGAUAACAUGCUAAUAUACUCUGAACUGUUUUCAGUUACAUGUCUAUAAUGAUUUAAAGAAUACCAAUUCAAAAGUAUAGAAAUUAACUGUAAAACUUCAUGGAAAAGUAAAAUGAGAAGUUAAAAACAAACAAAGGCCUCUACUAGUCUGAAAAGAGGAAAAUAAAUUAAAUAAAAAAACAAAAACCA